Long non-coding RNA from Oncorhynchus tshawytscha (Chinook salmon), 514 nucleotides. NCBI's taxonomy places the organism in Eukaryota, Metazoa, Chordata, Actinopteri, Salmoniformes, Salmonidae. The record is from Ensembl.
GUGGAGAUUAUAACAGAACAUGGCCAAGAUGUUCAAAUGUUCAUAAAUGACCAGCAUGGUCGAAUAAUAAUAAGGCAGAACAGUUGAAACUGGAGCAGCAGCACAGUCAGGUGGAAGUUGAAACUGGAGCAGCAGCAUGGCCAGGUAGACUGGGGACAGCAAGGAGUCAUCAUGUCAGGUAGUCCUGGAGCUCAGGUCCUAGGGCUCAGGUCCUCCGAGAGAGAGAAAGAAAGAGAGAAGGAGAGAAUCAGAGAACGCACACUUAGAUUCACACAGGACACCGAAUAGGACAGGAGAAGUACUCCAGAUAUAACAAACUGACCCCAGCCCCCCGACACAUAAACUACUGCAGCAUAAAUACUGGAGGCUGAGACAGGAGGGGUCAGGAGACACUGUGGCCCCAUCCGAGGUCACCCCCGGACAGGGCCAAACAGGAAGGAUAUAACCCCACCCACUUUGCCAAAGCACAGCCCCCACACCACUAGAGGGAUAUCUUCAACCACCAACUUACCAU